GAGAAAACACGACGCAGGGUAGAGAUUACGUGGCUAUUCAGGUGUUCAGAAAGUGGCGUCAGGACCUGACACUGAACAGACAGGCGCUCGUUCAUUUCACUCUCCGAUACAAGCUGGACCCAAGCCAGGUGCUGGAGAAGGCGAGGCACAGGACGCCCAGAUGCUCCCAAAGAGCUUCCAGCCUGGGGAAGCCAGACCAGUGCAUUUUGACAAGGAAAGUCUAGUUCAAGAGCACAAACUGGGGCUGGAGUACAGCGGAGAGGGCGUUUGCCUUCCAUGCGGCCAACCAAGGUUUGAGCCUCAGCAUCCCAUAGGGUCCCUGGAGUACCACCAGAAGUAAUUCCUGAGUGCAGAGCCAGGAAUAAGCCCUGAGCAUCGCUGGGCGUGACCCAGAAAGCAAAAAAGAAAACAAAAAAAGAACCCAAAAAUCACAAGGCUUACAUCCCUGCUCUGUGGCUCUGAGAACAUGAACUUCUCUGUGCCCAACUCUGAGAGAACUGAGGAGCGCCCUGAGCAUCAGCGCGGUUUGUGUCCAUCCUGAGGUAGUCCAGGAACCUGUGGCCAGUGGCCGGUGUGAAGUACUCAAUAUCACUAGCCCUGUUAGUAGUAUAUGGGCCAACUUGCAAAAGAUGAGGGGGUCGACACAUGACAAACAAUGGUCUAGGCUUGUACCCCACGCAGGCUUUGAGCUGACGGACACAGUGGAGGGCCUGUGGGCAUGACAGCGUCUCAGCAGCAGUCACCACUCUGUGAGGUUACUUAGGGGAUGGAAAGACGUUUCCAAGGAACCUCUGUUCUCUCGGGCGGGAGCACCAUCCAUGAACACAAGGGUAAAAACCACAGCAGCGCCUCAGACUCUGGGACUUAGGGGCAGGUACAUGGACAUCCUGGGAAAUCAGCUUUCAGUCAUCAGUAGUCCCAGCCCCUGGCAACCUUCUGCAGACCUGCUGGGUACUAGGAGAGGAAGAGAGGGGCCCUCAGCUGAGGGGGCAGUGGAAACCAGGAUGGGGCUGGAUCAAGGACUGGGAUUGAGGAGACCCACGUGCUGUGGUCAUUCCCGCGACAUCUCUACAGAACAACCAGGAGAACCACAAGGGCUAGUUUUUGGUUUUGGGCCCCACCUGGCGAUACUCAGAAAGACUCCUGGAGAGGGAAGCAUAUGGGGUGCUGAGGAUCGGACCCAAGGUUUCCUGCAUUCAGCGUCCAACACCACACCUCCCACCAGGGUGGCCCUGGCGACCUCGCUUCCCCUCCCUGCCAUGGAGUGGUAUACUACUGUUUUCAGGGAUCUGUGAGGAAAACAUCCCCUAAACAUGAGAUUUCUGAAGAAUCAUCACAGCCCAAAGGGGAGACCAUAAGGCCAGUGUGGGGGCUGAUGGAUAAGUGCUACCCUCGGACUGCUCAGG
This is a long non-coding RNA of Sorex araneus (European shrew), 1406 nucleotides long. RefSeq lists it as uncharacterized. NCBI's taxonomy places the organism in Eukaryota, Metazoa, Chordata, Mammalia, Eulipotyphla, Soricidae. The record is from RefSeq and is a predicted model, not a curated record. The transcript has 4 exons.